GAUGAACGCUGGCGGCGUGCCUAAUACAUGCAAGUCGAGCGAACGGACGAGAAGCUUGCUUCUCUGAUGUUAGCGGCGGACGGGUGAGUAACACGUGGAUAACCUACCUAUAAGACUGGGAUAACUUCGGGAAACCGGAGCUAAUACCGGAUAAUAUUUUGAACCGCAUGGUUCAAAAGUAAAAGACGGUCUUGCUGUCACUUAUAGAUGGAUCCGCGCUGCAUUAGCUAGUUGGUAAGGUAACGGCUUACCAAGGCAACGAUGCAUAGCCGACCUGAGAGGGUGAUCAGCCACACUGGAACUGAGACACGGUCCAGACUCCUACGGGAGGCAGCAGUAGGGAAUCUUCCGCAAUGGGCGAAAGCCUGACGGAGCAACGCCGCGUGAGUGAUGAAGGUCUUCGGAUCGUAAAACUCUGUUAUUAGGGAAGAACAUAUGUGUAAGUAACUGUGCACAUCUUGACGGUACCUAAUCAGAAAGCCACGGCUAACUACGUG
RNAcentral lists this ribosomal RNA (497 nucleotides) under uncultured bacterium. RNAcentral's name for it is "partial 16S ribosomal RNA". It matches the Rfam family "Bacterial small subunit ribosomal RNA", at positions 28 to 507 of the family's 1533-position model. The record is from RNAcentral.